UCAUUACAACAGCUAUUAUAUACUUGAUUUUGAUUUCCUACGUGGAUAACUGUGGUAAUUCUAGAGCUAAUACAUGCACCAAAGCUCCGACUUUAUUGACGAGCGCCUCUAUUAGAUUAAAACCAAUCGAGCUUUAAACGGCUCGUUAAUUGGUGACUCUGAAUAGCUUAGCUGAUCGCAUGGUCUAGUACCGGCGACAUAUCUAUCAAGUAUCUGCCUUAUCAACUUUCGAUGGUAGUUUAUGUGCCUACCAUGGUUGUAACGGGUAACGGAGAAUAAGGGUUCGACUCCGGAGAGGGAGCCUGAGAAACGGCUACCACUUCCAAGGAAGGCAGCAGGCGCGCAAAUUACCCACUCUCAGCAAGAGGAGGUAGUGACGAAAAAUAACGAGACCGUUCUCAUUGAGGCCGGUUAUCGGAAUGGGUACAAUUUAAACCUGUUAACGAGGACCUAUGAGAGGGCAAGCCUGGUGCCAGCAGCCGCGGUAACUCCAGCUCUCAAAGUGUAUAUCGUUAUUGCUGCGGUUAAAAAGCUCGUAGUUGGAAUCCAGCUUGACGACAUGGUCCAUUUAUUGGAUGUGAACUAUGAUCGUAGGCUAAUCUAUGUUGGUUUUCCUUGCGUUACCUUGAUCGGUCGCGUAAGGUGGCUAGCGAGUUUACCUUUGAAAAAUUAGAGUGCUUAAUGCGGGGCUUAAAAGCCUGAAUAU
RNAcentral lists this ribosomal RNA (706 nucleotides) under Dracunculus sp. PantanalBR. RNAcentral describes it as "SSU rRNA". It matches the Rfam family "Eukaryotic small subunit ribosomal RNA", at positions 98 to 802 of the family's 1831-position model. The record is from RNAcentral. Lineage: Eukaryota; Metazoa; Nematoda; Chromadorea; Rhabditida; Dracunculidae.